CCUACGGGUGGCAGCAGUGAGGAAUAUUGGUCAAUGGGCGCGAGCCUGAACCAGCCAAGUCGCGUGAGGGAAGACGGUCCUAUGGAUUGUAAACCUCUUUUGUCGGGGAGCAAAAGACGCCACGCGUGGCGUUCCGAGAGUACCCGAAGAAAAAGCAUCGGCUAACUCCGUGCCAGCAGCCGCGGUAAUACGGAGGAUGCGAGCGUUAUCCGGAUUUAUUGGGUGUAAAGGGAGCGUAGACGGCUGUGCAAGUCUGAAGUGAAAGCCCGUGGCUCAACCGCGGAACUGCUUUGGAAACUGGAUAGCUGGAGUACUGGAGAGGCAGGCGGAAUUCCUAGUGUAGCGGUGAAAUGCGUAGAUAUUAGGAGGAACACCAGUGGCGAAGGCGGCCUGCUGGACAGAAACUGACGUUGAGGCUCGAAAGCGUGGGGAGCAAACAGGAUUAGAUACCCGAGUAGUC
Molecule: ribosomal RNA, 460 nt
Filed under: uncultured bacterium
Lineage: Bacteria
Description: partial 16S ribosomal RNA
Rfam family: Bacterial small subunit ribosomal RNA
Source: RNAcentral